GAUGAACGCUGGCGGCGUGCUUAACACAUGCAAGUCGAACGGAAAGGCUCCUGCUUGCCGGGGUACUCGAGUGGCGAACGGGUGAGUAACACGUGGGUGAUCUGCCCUGCACUUCGGGAUAAGCCUGGGAAACUGGGUCUAAUACCGGAUAGGACUAUGGCUUGGAUGCCAUUGUGGAAAGUUUUUCGGUGUGGGAUGAGCUCGCGGCCUAUCAGCUUGUUGGUGGGGUAUUGGCCUACCAAGGCGUCGACGGGUAGCCGGCCUGAGAGGAUGUACGGCCCCUUUGGACAUGAGAUACGGCCCAGAGCCCGACGGGAGGGAGGAGUGGGGAAUUUUGCACAAGGGAGGAAGGCCGGGUGCCGCGAGCCCGCGUGGGGGGUAACGGCCUCCGGGUUGUAACCUCCUUUCGCAAGGGAGAAGGCGCUAGUGACGGUACCUGGAGAAGAAGCACCGGCUAACUACGUG
Molecule: ribosomal RNA, 465 nt
Filed under: uncultured bacterium
Lineage: Bacteria
Description: partial 16S ribosomal RNA
Rfam family: Bacterial small subunit ribosomal RNA
Source: RNAcentral